Molecule: ribosomal RNA, 871 nt
Filed under: uncultured organism
Description: bacterial SSU rRNA
Rfam family: Bacterial small subunit ribosomal RNA
Source: RNAcentral
UUAAAGGGUGCCCAGCUGUAAGCAAGUCAGUGGUGAAUCCCUGGCCUAACUCAGGAGUGCCAUGAAACUGUUGUACUAGAGUGUAGUAGAGGACGCCGGAAUGAGUUGUGUAGCGCUGAAAUGCAUAGAUAUAACUCAGAACACCGAUUGCGUAGGCAGCUGUUUAUACUACAACUGACGCUGAGGCACGAAAGCGUGGGGAGCGAACAGGAUUAGAUACCCUGGUAGUCCACGCUGUAAACGAUGAUCACUCGUUGUUGGCUACUUAGUAGUCAGUGACCAAGGGAAACCGAUAAGUGAUCCACCUGGGGAGUACGUCGGCAACGAUGAAACUCAAAGGAAUUGACGGGGGCCCGCACAAGCGGAGGAACAUGUGGUUUAAUUCGAUGAUACGCGAGGAACCUUACCUGGGCUUAAAUGCUGGCUGCAUUGGAGGGAAACCUUCAUUUCCUACGGGACCGCCAGCAAGGUGCUGCAUGGUUGUCGUCAGCUCGUGCCGUGAGGUGUCGGGUUAAGUCCCAUAACGAGCGCAACCCCUAUCGCUAGUUGCCAGCAUGUAAUGGUGGGGACUCUAGCGAGACUGCCGGUGUAAACCGGAGGAAGGUGCGCAUGACGUCAAAUCAGCACGGCCCUUACGUCCAGGGCUACACACGUGUUACAAUGGCCGGUACAAAGAGCAGCCACCUGGCGACAGGGCGCUAAUCUCUAAAACCGGUCUCAGUUCGGAUCGAAGUCUGCAAUUCGACUUCGUGAAGGUGGAUUCGCUAGUAAUCGCGCAUCAGCCAUGGCGCGCUGACUCAGUUCCCGGGCAUUGNCACACCGCCCGUCAAGCCAUGGAAGUCGGGGGUACCUGAAGUCCGUAACCGAUCAG